GACGAACGCUGGCGGCGUGCUUAACACAUGCAAGUCGAACGGAAAGGCCCUGCUUUUGUGGGGUGCUCGAGUGGCGAACGGGUGAGUAACACGUGAGUAACCUGCCCUUGACUUUGGGAUAACUUCAGGAAACUGGGGCUAAUACCGGAUAGGAGCUCCUGCUGCAUGGUGGGGGUUGGAAAGUUUCGGCGGUUGGGGAUGGACUCGCGGCUUAUCAGCUUGUUGGUGGGGUAGUGGCUUACCAAGGCUUUGACGGGUAGCCGGCCUGAGAGGGUGACCGGCCACAUUGGGACUGAGAUACGGCGCAGACUCCUACGGGAGGCAGCAGUGGGGAAUAUUGCACAAUGGGCGGAAGCCUGAUGCAGCAACGUCGCGUGCGGGAUGACGGCCUUCGGGUUGUAAACCGCUUUCGCCUGUGACGAAGCGUGAGUGACGGUAAUGGGUAAAGAAGCACCGGCUAACUACGUG
RNAcentral lists this ribosomal RNA (468 nucleotides) under uncultured bacterium. RNAcentral's name for it is "partial 16S ribosomal RNA". It matches the Rfam family "Bacterial small subunit ribosomal RNA", at positions 28 to 507 of the family's 1533-position model. The record is from RNAcentral.